Molecule: ribosomal RNA, 496 nt
Filed under: uncultured bacterium
Lineage: Bacteria
Description: partial 16S ribosomal RNA
Rfam family: Bacterial small subunit ribosomal RNA
Source: RNAcentral
AUGAGCGCUGGCGGCGUGCCUAAUACAUGCAAGUCGAGCGCACAGACGAGGAGCUUGCUCCUCUGACGUUAGCGGCGGACGGGUGAGUAACACGUGGAUAACCUACCUAUAAGACUGGGAUAACUUCGGGAAACCGGAGCUAAUACCGGAUAAUAUAUUGAACCGCAUGGUUCAAUAGUGAAAGACGGUUUUGCUGUCACUUAUAGAUGGAUCCGCGCCGCAUUAGCUAGUUGGUAAGGUAACGGCUUACCAAGGCGACGAUGCGUAGCCGACCUGAGAGGGUGAUCGGCCACACUGGAACUGAGACACGGUCCAGACUCCUACGGGAGGCAGCAGUAGGGAAUCUUCCGCAAUGGGCGAAAGCCUGACGGAGCAACGCCGCGUGAGUGAUGAAGGUCUUCGGAUCGUAAAACUCUGUUAUUAGGGAAGAACAAAUGUGUAAGUAACUAUGCACGUCUUGACGGUACCUAAUCAGAAAGCCACGGCUAACUGCGUG